UACGUAGGGGGCAAGCGUUGUCCGGAAUUAUUGGGCGUAAAGCGCGCGCAGGCGGUCUUUUAAGUCCUGUGUUUAAUGUCGGGGCUCAACCCCGGCCCGCAUGGGAAACUGGGAGACUGGAGUGCAGGAGAGGGAAGCGGAAUUCCACGUGUAGCGGUGAAAUGCGUAGAGAUGUGGAGGAACACCAGUGGCGAAGGCGGCUUCCUGGUCUGUAACUGACGCUGAGGCGCGAAAGCGUGGGGAGCAAACA
RNAcentral lists this ribosomal RNA (250 nucleotides) under uncultured bacterium. Its description in RNAcentral is "partial 16S ribosomal RNA". It matches the Rfam family "Bacterial small subunit ribosomal RNA", at positions 524 to 774 of the family's 1533-position model. The record is from RNAcentral.